RNAcentral lists this ribosomal RNA (500 nucleotides) under uncultured bacterium. RNAcentral's name for it is "partial 16S ribosomal RNA". It matches the Rfam family "Bacterial small subunit ribosomal RNA", at positions 30 to 523 of the family's 1533-position model. The record is from RNAcentral.
AUUGAACGCUGGCGGCAUGCCUUACACAUGCAAGUCGAACGGCAGCACGGGAGCAAUCCUGGUGGCGAGUGGCGAACGGGUGAGUAAAGUAUCGGAACAUGCCCAGUCGUGGGGGAUAACGUAGCGAAAGUUACGCUAAUACCGCAUACGAUCUAUGGAUGAAAGCGGGGGAUCGCAAGACCUCGCGCGAUUGGAGCGGCCGAUAUCAGAUUAGGUAGUUGGUGGGGUAAAGGCCCACCAAGCCGACGAUCUGUAGCUGGUCUGAGAGGACGACCAGCCACACGGGGACUGAGACACGGCCCAGACUCCUACGGGAGGCAGCAGUGGGGAAUUUUGGACAAUGGGCGAAAGCCUGAUCCAGCCAUGCCGCGUGCAGGAUGAAGGCCUUCGGGUUGUCAACUGCUUUUGUACGGAACGAAAAGGACUGCCCUAAUACGGUGGUCCCAUGACGGUACCGUAAGAAUAAGCACCGGCUAACUACGUGCCAGCCGCCGCAGUAA